This 253-nucleotide ribosomal RNA is filed under the name uncultured bacterium. RNAcentral describes it as "partial 16S ribosomal RNA". It matches the Rfam family "Bacterial small subunit ribosomal RNA", at positions 524 to 776 of the family's 1533-position model. The record is from RNAcentral.
GACGAAGGAUGCAAGCGUUAUCCGGAUUCAUUGGGUUUAAAGGGAGCGUAGGCGGACUUAUAAGUCAGUGGUGAAAUCUCUGGGCUUAACUCAGAAACUGCCAUUGAUACUGUAGGUCUAGAGUACAUUUGCUGUGGGCGGAAUAUGACAUGUAGUGGUGAAAUACUUAGAUAUGUCAUAGAACACCGAUUGCGAAGGCAGCUCGCAAAAAUGUAACUGACGCUGAGGCUCGAAAGUGCGGGGAUCUAACAGG